CGCCGCGACCCGUUGCUGGGGACGUCGAAGGCCCGGAUGGACUGGUACCCCGACGUCGUGCGUUCGCGCCGACGAAGGGGGAAACCUCCGGUGUCCUGGCAGCCCUGCGACGGUCGAGCAGCAGAGGGGCAACACUCCUCCCUCUCGCGGCGUGCAAAAGGUCGGUGACCCACCCGACCCGUCUUGAAACACGGACCAAGGAGUCUAACAUGUGUGCGAGUCAUUGGGCGCACUAAACCCAGAGGCGUAAUGAAAGUGAAAGGGGGGCGUCCCGGGGUCUUCGGGCCUCGGUCGGCGCCCUCCGGGGCCGAUCCCCGACCGCCUGUUGCCGUCUCGGUUUCCCAUUCCAAAGCGGAGUCAAGGGGGUGUGCGGGGUGAGUCCCUUUCCCCCGCGCUACCUCCGGCUUCGUGGGUACUGGGCGCGCACGACGGUCCGGCUCCUUCACGGGAGUCGCUUGUACGCAGGGGGGCGCAGGCCCGGGACUUGCCAUUCGACGCCGUCGCGCAAAUCUGUUGUUGGCCUCGCCGGCUUUGCUUGGGCUCUCGGUUGGCGCGCCGCGCGUCAGGCGGGCUUUGGGUGGGGGCUUUGUCUCU
This 594-nucleotide ribosomal RNA is filed under the name Cristarma eulimene. RNAcentral describes it as "Chiromantes eulimene partial 28S ribosomal RNA". Lineage: Eukaryota; Metazoa; Arthropoda; Malacostraca; Decapoda; Sesarmidae. The record is from RNAcentral.